Molecule: ribosomal RNA, 501 nt
Filed under: uncultured bacterium
Lineage: Bacteria
Description: partial 16S ribosomal RNA
Rfam family: Bacterial small subunit ribosomal RNA
Source: RNAcentral
AUUGAACGCUGGCGGCAUGCCUUACACAUGCAAGUCGAACGGCAGCACGGGUGCUUGCACCUGGUGGCGAGUGGCGAACGGGUGAGUAAUACAUCGGAACGUACCUUAUCGUGGGGGAUAACGCAGCGAAAGCUGUGCUAAUACCGCAUACGCCCUGAGGGGGAAAGCGGGGGAUCGAAAGACCUCGCGCGACUAGAGCGGCCGAUGCCUGAUUAGCUUGUUGGUGGGGUAAAAGCCCACCAAGGCGACGAUCAGUAGCUGGUCUGAGAGGACGAUCAGCCACACUGGGACUGAGACACGGCCCAGACUCCUACGGGAGGCAGCAGUGGGGAAUUUUGGACAAUGGGGGCAACCCUGAUCCAGCAAUGCCGCGUGAGUGAAGAAGGCCUUCGGGUUGUGAAGCUCUUUCGUCAGGGAAGAAACACCGGCUCUAACACAGUCCGGGAAUGACGGUACCUGAAGAAUAAGCACCGGCUAACUACGUGCCAGCCGCCGCCGUAA